AUACGUAGGUGACAAGCGUUAUCCGGAUUUACUGGGCGUAAAGGGCGUGUAGGCGGUCUUGCAAGUCAGAAGUGAAAUUCCUGAGCUCAACUCGGGCGCUGCUUCUGAAACUGCAGGACUUGAGUGCUGGAGGGGAUAGCGGAAUUCCUAGUGGAGCGGUAAAAUGCGCAGAUAUUAGGAAGAACACCGGUGGCGAAGGCGGCUAUCUGGACAGUAACUGACGCUGAGGCGCGAAAGCGUGGGGAGCAAACAGGAUUAGAUACCCUGGUAGUCCACGCAGUAAACGAUGAUGGCUAACCGCUGGUUUAUUCGGAUCAGUGGCCAAGCGAAAGCGAUAAGCCAUCCACCUGGGGAGUACGACCGCAAGGUUGAAACUCAAAUGAAUUGGCGGGG
RNAcentral lists this ribosomal RNA (393 nucleotides) under uncultured bacterium. RNAcentral describes it as "partial 16S ribosomal RNA". It matches the Rfam family "Bacterial small subunit ribosomal RNA", at positions 523 to 918 of the family's 1533-position model. The record is from RNAcentral.